CCUACGGGUGGCAGCAGUAGGGAAUCUUCCACAAUGGGCGAAAGCCUGAUGGAGCAACGCCGCGGGGGUGAAGAAGGUCUUCGGAUCGUAAAACCCUGUUGUUAGAGAAGAAAGUGCGUGAGAGUAACUGUUCACGUUUCGACGGUAUCUAACCAGAAAGCCACGGCUAACUACGUGCCAGCAGCCGCGGUAAUACGUAGGUGGCAAGUGUUAUCCGGAUUUAUUGGGCGUAAAGGGAACGCAGGCGGGCUUUUAAGUCUGAUGUGAAAGCCUUCGGCUUAACCGGAGUAGUGCAUUGGAAACUGGGAGACGUGAGUGCAGAAGAGGAGAGUGGAACUACAUGUGUAGCGGUGAAAUGCGUAGAUAGAUGGAAGAACACCAGUGGCGAAAGCGGCUCUCUGGUCUGUAACUGACGCUGAGGUUCGAAAGCGUGGGUAGCAAACAGGAUUAGAUACCCCUGUAGUC
This 465-nucleotide ribosomal RNA is filed under the name uncultured bacterium. RNAcentral describes it as "partial 16S ribosomal RNA". It matches the Rfam family "Bacterial small subunit ribosomal RNA", at positions 338 to 795 of the family's 1533-position model. The record is from RNAcentral.